GGAACACGCUUUUCUGUUGGAUCUGGGUCACCAUAUGCUUAUGGGGUACUUGAUAAUGGGUAUCGUCAUGAUAUGUCAAUUGAGGAAGCUGGCGAGCUGGGUCGCCGGGCCAUUUAUCAUGCUACCUUUCGUGAUGGUGCUAGUGGUGGAGUUGCUAGUGUGUAUUAUGUGGGACCUGACGGCUGGAAGAAGUUAUCCGGG
This 201-nucleotide unclassified non-coding RNA is filed under the name Hevea brasiliensis (rubber tree). The record is from RNAcentral. Lineage: Eukaryota; Viridiplantae; Streptophyta; Magnoliopsida; Malpighiales; Euphorbiaceae.